AUUGAACGCUGGCGGCAUGCUUUACACAUGCAAGUCGAACGGCAGCGGGGAGGAGCUUGCUUCUCUGCCGGCGAGUGGCGAACGGGUGAGUAAUACAUCGGAACGUGUCGAGAAGAGGGGGAUAACCACCCGAAAGGGUGGCUAAUACCGCAUAAAUUCUGAGGAAGAAAGCUGGGGACCUAGGAAUAGGCCUAGCGCUUUUUGAGCGGCCGAUGUCGGAUUAGCUAGUUGGUGAGGUAAAGGCUCACCAAGGCGAAGAUCUGUAGCGGGUCUGAGAGGAGGAUCCGCCACACUGGGACUGAGACACGGCCCAGACUCCUACGGGAGGCAGCAGUGGGGAAUUUUGGACAAUGGGGGCAACCCUGAUCCAGCCAUGCCGCGUGUAUGAAGAAGGCCUUAGGGUUGUAAAGUACUUUUGUUAGGGAAGAAAAGUCAGCUGUGAAUAAUGGCUGAUACUGACGGUACCUAAAGAUUAAGCACCGGCUAACUACGUG
This 494-nucleotide ribosomal RNA is filed under the name uncultured bacterium. RNAcentral describes it as "partial 16S ribosomal RNA". It matches the Rfam family "Bacterial small subunit ribosomal RNA", at positions 30 to 507 of the family's 1533-position model. The record is from RNAcentral.